UUGAAUAAGGGUAUUGCAUCCAUUUAAGUUGAUCCUUUUUGACAUUUUUGUAAAUGGAUAGAAAAUUGCUCUCCACGGUCUUCGUUAGAGGAGGAUAAAUGUCACCUACAAGAUAUUUAAGGCGUUCAACUUUCAUGAAGGAAGUUUACAGUGCUAUGGUGAGCAGAUUAAUGCAGCAGGAAAAUUUGAUUCAUGGUGAGUCUCUGCUUAAUGUCCCGCUGCUACCAAACCUGUCAGUGAUGCUUUCCGACCACACCCCCACCUCUCAUCAUGAUGCUUAAUCCAAGGACAUGUCUGACUUCCGGGAAGGUAGUUAGCAAUCAUUGUCAGACAGCAACCUGAGACUUCUUGA
This is a long non-coding RNA of Lepisosteus oculatus (spotted gar), 352 nucleotides long. RefSeq lists it as uncharacterized. NCBI's taxonomy places the organism in Eukaryota, Metazoa, Chordata, Actinopteri, Semionotiformes, Lepisosteidae. The record is from RefSeq and is a predicted model, not a curated record.